UGGGGAAUAUUGCACAAUGGGCGCAAGCCUGAUGCAGCCAUGCCGCGUGUGUGAAGAAGGCCUUCGGGUUGUAAAGCACUUUCAGCGAGGAGGAAGGUGGUGAACUUAAUACGUUCAUCAAUUGACGUUACUCGCAGAAGAAGCACCGGCUAACUCCGUGCCAGCAGCCGCGGUAAUACGGAGGGUGCAAGCGUUAAUCGGAAUUACUGGGCGUAAAGCGCACGCAGGCGGUUUGUUAAGUCAGAUGUGAAAUCCCCGGGCUCAACCUGGGAACUGCAUUUGAAACUGGCAAGCUAGAGUCUCGUAGAGGGGGGUAGAAUUCCAGGUGUAGCGGUGAAAUGCGUAGAGAUCUGGAGGAAUACCGGUGGCGAAGGCGGCCCCCUGGACGAAGACUGACGCUCAGGUGCGAAAGCGUGGGGAGCAAACAGGAUUAGNUACCCUGGUAGUCCACGCUGUAAACGAUGUCGAUUUUGGAGGUUGUGCCCUUGAGGCGUGGCUUCCGGAGCUAACGCGUUAAAUCGACCGCCUGGGGAGUACGGCCGCAAGGUUAAAACUCAAAUGAAUUGACGGGGUC
Molecule: ribosomal RNA, 574 nt
Filed under: uncultured bacterium
Lineage: Bacteria
Description: partial 16S ribosomal RNA
Rfam family: Bacterial small subunit ribosomal RNA
Source: RNAcentral